This 68-nucleotide transfer RNA is filed under the name Trichonephila clavata. RNAcentral describes it as "tRNA-Thr". Lineage: Eukaryota; Metazoa; Arthropoda; Arachnida; Araneae; Nephilidae. The record is from RNAcentral.
GCCAGUAUGGUGGAUAUGACCCUCGGCUUGUAAUUGAGUGGGCUCGGGUUCGAAACCCGAAUAAGGCA